CAGUAGCCGCGGUAAUACGUAGGUGGCAAGCGUUGUCCGGAAUUAUUGGGCGUAAAGGGCUCGCAGGCGGUUUCUUAAGUCUGAUGUGAAAGCCCCCGGCUCAACCGGGGAGGGUCAUUGGAAACUGGAAACUUGAGUGCAGAAGAGGAGAGUGGAAUUCCACGUGUAGCGGUGAAAUGCGUUGAGAUCGGAAAGAACACCAACGGCGAAAGCACUCUACUGGGCCGACACUGACACUGAGAGACGAAAGCUAGGGGAGCAAAUGGGAUUAGAUACCCGUGUAGUCCCUGUCUCUUAUACA
RNAcentral lists this ribosomal RNA (301 nucleotides) under uncultured bacterium. RNAcentral describes it as "partial 16S ribosomal RNA". It matches the Rfam family "Bacterial small subunit ribosomal RNA", at positions 509 to 808 of the family's 1533-position model. The record is from RNAcentral.